This 484-nucleotide ribosomal RNA is filed under the name uncultured bacterium. RNAcentral describes it as "partial 16S ribosomal RNA". It matches the Rfam family "Bacterial small subunit ribosomal RNA", at positions 30 to 507 of the family's 1533-position model. The record is from RNAcentral.
AUUGAACGCUGGCGGCAGGCCUAACACAUGCAAGUCGAGCGGACGAAGGGAGCUUGCUCCUGGAUUCAGCGGCGGACGGGUGAGUAAUGCCUAGGAAUCUGCCUGGUCGUGGGGGCUAACGUCCGGUCACGGGCGCUAAUAUCGCAUACGUCCUGAGGGUGAAAGUGGGGGAUCUUCGGACAUCACGCUAUCAGAUGAGCCUAGGUCGGAUUAGCUAGUUGGUGGGGUAAAGGCCUACCAAGGCGACGAUCCGUAACUGGUCUGAGAGGGUGAUCAGUCACACUGGAACUGAGACACGGUCCAGACUCCUACGGGAGGCAGCAGUAGGGAAUAUUGGACAAUGGGCGAAAGCCUGAUCCAGCCAUGCCGCGUGUGUGAAGAAGGUCUUCGGAUUGUAAAGCACUUUAAGUUGGGAGGAAGGGCAGUAAGUUAAAACCUUGCUGUUUUGACGUUACCAACAGAAUAAGCAACGGCUAACUUCGUG